Molecule: long non-coding RNA, 412 nt
Filed under: Gopherus agassizii (Agassiz's desert tortoise)
Lineage: Eukaryota; Metazoa; Chordata; Testudines; Testudinidae
Description: lncRNA (ENSGAGG00000020806.1)
Source: RNAcentral
UAAUAUCAAAGGGAUAAAUCACCCUUUCCCAUGGGAGGAGAUAAGUGAAGGGCUAAAGGGGACAAGAUCUCUUCAAAAUUCUCCCCAGUAUUUCUAUGAAGGCAGGCUUUGCAUAUUUCAAGAUGAGUCUGCCCUCGUUAAAGGAGAUAAUGGAGACAUUUUGGAGGAUGCUUUAAGGAGCUGACCAACAUCAUUCUAAGACAACUGAUUUCCAUCCAGUACAUGACCAAACAGGACCAAGAGGAAGGACUGUGGUUCUAGACCACCUUUCUGUGCUCCCAAUUGUGGGACUGUAGAAAAGCAGACUCACCCCUUCGGCACCUCCUGCUAGUGCCUUCCGGGAAUUAGCUCAAUUCAGCUCUGGAGCUCCCUCUGCAGGUCAGUGAUCCACCUGUCCUCUGGCCCCCAUGUC